GAGUUUGAUCCUGGCUCAGGAUGAACGCUGGCGGCGUGCCUAAUACAUGCAAGUCGAACGCAAUACCUCGGUAUUGAGUGGCGAACGGGUGAGUAAUACAUAAGCAACCUGGCCAUGACAGGGGGAUAACUGACGGAAACGACAGCUAAAACCGCAUAGGUAUAAACGAAGCAUUUUGUUUAUAUUAAAAAUGCUAAGGCAUUGGUGAUGGAUGGGCUUAUGGAGCAUUAGCUAGUUGGUGAGGUAGAGGCUCACCAAGGCGACGAUGCAUAGCCGGCCUGAGAGGGUGAACGGCCACACUGGGACUGAGACACGGCCCAGACUCCUACGGGAGGCAGCAGUAGGGAAUUUUCGGCAAUGGGGGGAACCCUGACCGAGCAACGCCGCGUGAAGGAAGAAGGAAUUCGUUUCGUAAACUUCUGUUAUAAAGGAAGAAAGGGAUGUGUAGGGAAUGAUACAUCUAAGACGGUACUUUAUGAGGAAGCCACGGCUAACUACGUGCCAGCAGCCGCGGUAAUACGUAGGUGGCAAGCGUUAUCCGGAAUUAUUGGGCGUAAAGAGGGAGCAGGCGGCAAUAGAGGUCUGUGGUAAAAGGCUGAAGCUUAACUUCAGUAAGCCAUGGAAACCAGAUAGCUAGAGGACAGCAGAGGAACGCGGAAUUCCAUGUGUAGCGGUGAAAUGCGCAGAUAUAUGGAGGAACACCAGUGGCGAAGGCGGCGUUCUGGGCUGUAGCUGACGCUCAGUCCCGAAAGCGUGGGGAGCAAAUAGGAUUAGAUACCCUAGUAGUCCACGCCGUAAACGAUGAGUACUAAGUGUUGGGGGGUCGAACCUCAGUGCUGCAGUUAACGCAAUAAGUACUCCGCCUGAGUAGUACGUUCGCAAGAAUGAAACUCAAAGGAAUUGACGGGGGCCCGCACAAGCGGUGGAGCAUGUGGUUUAAUUCGAAGCAACGCGAAGAACCUUACCAGGUCUUGACAUCGAUCUAAAAGCACUAGAGAUAGUGAAAUAGUUAUAGAGAAGACAGGUGGUGCAUGGUUGUCGUCAGCUCGUGUCGUGAGAUGUUGGGUUAAGUCCCGCAACGAGCGCAACCCCUGUAGCCAGUUACCAGCAAGUGAAGUUGGGGACUCUGGCGAGACUGCCGGUGACAAGCCGGAGGAAGGCGGGGAUGACGUCAAAUCAUCAUGCCCCUUAUGACCUGGGCUACACACGUGCUACAAUGGACGGAACAGAGGGAAGCGAAGGAGUGAUCUGGAGCGAAACAUAGAAAACCGUUCCCAGCUCGGACUGCAGUCAGCUACUCGACGGCACGAAGAUGGAAUCGCUAGUAAUCGCGGAUCAGCAUGCCGCGGUGNAUACGUUCUCGGCACCUGCACAGGCCGCCCGUCAAGGNNGAAUUCGCUUAAGCACGCAGAGGGGUCCCUUUAGUGAGGUAAUUCUAGCUGCAUAUGAAA
RNAcentral lists this ribosomal RNA (1451 nucleotides) under uncultured bacterium. RNAcentral describes it as "bacterial SSU rRNA". It matches the Rfam family "Bacterial small subunit ribosomal RNA". The record is from RNAcentral.